AGUGAACGCUGGCGGCGUGCUUAACACAUGCAAGUCGAACGAGAACGGGUUAUAGCUUGCUAUAAUUGUCAGCUAAGUGGCGCACGGGUGAGUAAUGUAUAGGUAAUAUGCCUCUUACUAAGGGAUAACAAAUGGAAACGUUUGCUAAUACCUUAUACUCCUUAUUAACAUAAGUUAAUAAGGGAAAGAUUUAUUGGUAAGAGAUUAGCCUGUAUUGUAUCAGUUAGUUGGUGGGGUAAUGGCUUACCAAGACUAUGACACAUAACUGGUUCGAGAGGAUGAUCAGUCACACUGGAACUAAGACACGGUCCAGACUCCUACGGGAGGCAGCAGUGGGGAAUAUUGCACAAUGGACGAAAGUCUGAUGCAGCAACGCCGCGUGGAGGAUGACACAUUUCGGUGCGUAAACUCCUUUUAUAUGAGAAGAUAAUGACGGUAUUAUAUGAAUAAGCACCGGCUAACUCCGUGCCAGCAGCCGCGGUAA
RNAcentral lists this ribosomal RNA (484 nucleotides) under uncultured bacterium. RNAcentral's name for it is "partial 16S ribosomal RNA". It matches the Rfam family "Bacterial small subunit ribosomal RNA", at positions 29 to 523 of the family's 1533-position model. The record is from RNAcentral.